Molecule: ribosomal RNA, 253 nt
Filed under: uncultured bacterium
Lineage: Bacteria
Description: partial 16S ribosomal RNA
Rfam family: Bacterial small subunit ribosomal RNA
Source: RNAcentral
UACGAGGGGGGCGAGCGUUGUUCGGAAUUAUUGGGCGUAAAGGGUGCGUAGGCGGUUUGGUAAGUCUGAUGUGAAAUCUAUGGGCUCAACUCAUAGUCUGCAUCGGAAACUGCCGGGUUUGAGUAUGGGAGAGGUGAGUGGAAUUCCUGGUGUAGCGGUGAAAUUCGUAGAUAUUCGCAAGAACACCAGUGGCGAAGGCGGCUCACUGGCCCGGUACUGACGCUGAGGUGCGAAAGCGUGGGGAGCAAACAGG